GCAGCGGCUGCUGCUAUAUGAUCACCUGAAGCUGCUGUUUUCCAAGAAAUUGAGAGAUGAAAACAACUCUGGAUUUUUCGAAGUGUUUUUUUCCGCUUUUCUUCUCCGGUGAAUACAAAAUCUACACACCAUGAAUCAAAAUUAUGAAAUCCCUCACUCAUUAUAUUGUAAAUUCUCUCAUCCACUCAGGCCCUAAAACUAUUGUAAGUUUUCUCAUAACUUUGUGCAGUAUGAUUGUCUAUCGUACAAACAUAUGGGUUCAACAAGUAGUUAGCUUUGGUUGAUUUGGUAAAUGUUCGAGAUGGGUUUUGUGAGAUUGAUGAGUAAUAUGAGCCGUUGUAUGCUUGGGAAGGUUUGUUUUCAAUCCAAAUCGAUGAGCAAGAAACAUAUGCGACAGAGUUAUAUCCAUCACCAGCUCAGAGAACGAAUAUCAAGUGUUUGUAAUAAUGCCUGAACCAUCAAUUCUUCAUCAAUAGUUGUUGUUGUAACCAACAGUUGUAUUAGGUGUUGCCAUGGGUUCUGUGGCUUAGUUCUUGUGGUUGUUCUUGGCAGAUUAAGAAGGUUUCCUGGCAAUUAAUACAACCAAGAACAUUAGGUGUGUAAUGGACUUGGAAUCUGCCAGCAAAGUGGUUUGAUUUGUGGUGCGUUUUGGAUCAUCUCUGGUUGGAUAUUGCAGGGAAGAGACAAGUGCUGCUAUCCAGGUUUAUGUGAAUGAAUAUAUGGGUUCUGGUGGCUGUGUUGGGGUGUUCGAAUUGAAGAAGUUUGGGUUGUAUUUCAGCUGACCAAAUCAAAUUCUCACUGACCUAUUGAAGUAGUUCUCUCCCUAAAGGUGCUGGAAGUGGUACAAGUUAUAGGGCAAAUGAUGGUUUUAUACUGGAGCUGGUGUGGUCUGCAAGGGUGAAUUUGUAUACGGCUGUGUUGUUGAUUGUGGUAUAAGGGUACAUGUUAGAUUUGAUUUCUUACAGUCAAAUAUUAUUAAUUGAUUUUUAAAUUUGUUCUAAUUACAUAAUUUCUUACUUCUUUAGUUACUGCAAUGCAAUCAGUAUUUGGGAAGAUAUUUUUGAGCCUGUCGAAGCAAAGGAGAAGAGAUGUAUGUAUACAGGUCUUUGCCCCUUUGGUCAAUGUCGUAAGCAUAAUUGGUUACUGGAAGUUUGUCACACCUGCUACUAGAAAUUUUUCUGAUACUGGUACGAUCUUCUACGAAUCUCAAGGUGGCUGCUGGAGGCUUAUCGACACAGAAGAGGAGGUAUUAAUCUAUCACGAAAUGAUUCACAAAUUUUGGCUGUUAACAGCCUUCCCAGUAGAGGGUUUUGGAGUCUAGGAAUGUCAUUUGAAAUGGGUAUUUAACAUUUAGUUGGGUAUUUAACAUUUAGUUGGAUUCCCAGUAGAUCGCGGAUAAAAUAUCUUUUCUUACAUAUAGCACAACUCUUUUGUGCAUUUCUUUUAACCUGUUCAUGGUGGUGCUUUAGAAAUUCAUCGCAAUCUCAUAUGCAAGCCUUCGAUAUUCUUUUAUAUCUCGAAAUACAUGAAAUUGGGGAAUCACAUUUGCACUCAAUGUUACAAAAAUGGAGGUAUCACUUAGAGAUGCAGUUAGAAGGAAUUCCAAAUGCAGGGACCAUGUGAACCCAGCUGAUGAUUGAAUUCAAACUGAAGUUUCUAAAAUAUUUCAUGGUGGUGCUUAAGAAGUUCAUCGCAGUCUCAUAUGCAGGCCUUCGAUUUUCUUUUAUAUCUCAACAUACAUGGAAUUGGGGAAUCACAUUUGCACUCAAUGUUGCAAAAAUGGAGGUAUCACUUAAAGAUACAGUUAGAAGGAAUUCCAAGUGCAGGGACCAUAUGAACCAAACUGAUGAUUGAAUUCAAACUGAAGUUUCUAAAAUAUUUUCAAGUCCUGAUCAUUUUAUAGGAACUGAAAGUCCUAGCCAUGGCAGUGAAGCGGGUAUUGGAUCUUAGUUCCAUAACUUUAAUGAGAAAGUUUGUUGCGUAGUUUUUGGAUCCUCUACUCAUUCACUGAACAUCCCGGUGUGAACAUCUAAAAAUGAAUUUGAGAAGUUUAUUUUUCUCCAAUCCUACUUCAUUACUUUGGGUUAUAACAGAAAAUGAUGAUGCCUUCGACAUACUAUACUGCAUAACAUUAUCAGUGGCUUUCUAUGAGUGAUUCAUACAUGGAUUUCAAUUUGGAAGAAAGAAUGUGGGUUACAAUGCUAGUAUGUCUCCACAAUGCUAGAAAAAAGAUGAAGAUCCUGUUAGCUUUGUAAGUUUCUAAAUAGUAUCUGCUCAUAGUGACUUACACAAAUUUGUGAACUUAGGAACUUAAGAAGUUUUCUAUGCAGAUAGUUACAAGAAUGCUUGGUAACUAUCUGCAAGUUUUGAGUAUGUGAGUAAGUUGUAUGUAGUUUUUGAGCUGAACUUAUACUGACCUAAGUGAGAAGGAACUGAAGUUAGGAAGUUUCUAUGUUUUCCCUCGGAAUUUGA
Long non-coding RNA from Papaver somniferum (opium poppy), 2472 nucleotides. RefSeq lists it as uncharacterized. The record is from RefSeq and is a predicted model, not a curated record. Lineage: Eukaryota; Viridiplantae; Streptophyta; Magnoliopsida; Ranunculales; Papaveraceae. The transcript is spliced from 3 exons.